Stegostoma tigrinum is the source of this 289-nucleotide long non-coding RNA. RefSeq lists it as uncharacterized. The record is from RefSeq and is a predicted model, not a curated record. Lineage: Eukaryota; Metazoa; Chordata; Chondrichthyes; Orectolobiformes; Stegostomatidae. The transcript is spliced from 3 exons.
UAUAAGGCAGAUAUUUAUGUGGCAUAAUGGUCAGACUUAAAACCAUGCAUUUUUUGUUUGGAACUGAACAGUUACUUAGAGGAUUGGAUCUAUGCAAGCAGACACAAAUCACAGAAUGAGGCUAGGGAAAGCAACAUAUUGAACAUCUCAUUUGCCAUUUAAUGAUGCUUCCUGGAAAUGACAGAAGGCCCACUUGGCAAUAGAGAUUGUUAAUGCUGGCACGGGGAAAAGGAAAUGCCGCACUGGUGAACGAACAGACCAUUCCUGUGAGGUGGAAUUAACAGAACCA